RNAcentral lists this long non-coding RNA (403 nucleotides) under Homo sapiens (human). RNAcentral describes it as "non-protein coding lnc-DCLK3-5:1". The record is from RNAcentral. Lineage: Eukaryota; Metazoa; Chordata; Mammalia; Primates; Hominidae.
CCCCGCUGCCCCUGCUGCUGCUGGUCUCUGCUCCGGACGCGCUCAGAAGGUGCCACCGCCGCCUUCUCUGGCCGGCUGGCCGCCGGGAGUGAACGCGCCCCCGCCUCCUGUCUGCUCUUCUGUCCGUCUGCACGUCUGUCAGUCCGACCGUCUGUGGGUCCGACUAGCAGCUCGGCGCGGGAUUCUCGCUUUGCUGCGCUCUGCUCUCAAAGCUGCCACUCUCGCAGGCUGCCAGUCUGUGCGCUGGUCUGUCCGUCCGUCCGAAUCCCUCCGUCCCACCAGCAAUGCAGCGUCCCUCUUCCGGUCUUCUGUGCCCACAGUCCUCUCCCACUCUGUGCCCCUGGCCGCUUCGCUCGGCCAACUCUGCAGAGACAAUCCCACAAUAAUAACACCUCGCCCCACC